UACGUAGGGUGCAAGCGUUAAUCGGAAUUACUGGGCGUAAAGCGUGCGCAGGCGGUUAUGUAAGACAGGGGUGAAGUCCCCGGGCUCAACCUGGGAAUGGCAUUUGGGACUGCAAGGCUGGAGUACGGCAGAGGAGACUGGAAUUCCUGGUGUAGCAGUGAAAUGCGUAGAUAUCAGGAGGAAUACCGAUGGCGAAGGCAGGUCUCUGGGCUGAUACUGACGCUCAUGCACGAAAGCGUGGGGAGCAAACAGG
Molecule: ribosomal RNA, 253 nt
Filed under: uncultured bacterium
Lineage: Bacteria
Description: partial 16S ribosomal RNA
Rfam family: Bacterial small subunit ribosomal RNA
Source: RNAcentral